RNA transcript from Cavia porcellus (domestic guinea pig), 1355 nucleotides. RefSeq lists it as uncharacterized. The record is from RefSeq and is a predicted model, not a curated record. Lineage: Eukaryota; Metazoa; Chordata; Mammalia; Rodentia; Caviidae. The transcript is spliced from 6 exons.
UCGGUCCCCACAGCACACGACAGUGACUACAGAGGCCACAGAAGAUUCAGCAGUCAAGCCAGGAACGUGCUGCGGGCGGGAGAGGGGAUCUGGCAGGGGCAAGGGCACUGGCAGCCACUUUGGCAUGCGGAGGAAAAUCAUACACAGCACAGAAAAUCCCCGCUGUGCUCUGCCAAGACCCCGGCCCCCGAGGGCCAGGCAGGAAAUUGCCCAACCGUGCUGAGGGGCGUGGCGGUUAUCAUCGUGCAAAAGGAAACCGGCGGCAGACUGCAGAGUGGCACCUGAAGGGAGGCCUGCGAGCCGUCCAGCAGAGCCCAGCGGCCGCCUCACUGACCCGCGCAGCCUGGCAUCGCCUCCGCCGGCCGCUCUGGUCUCUGGUCCCUGCAGGGCAGCUCCAGCCACGGCCGGGCCACCACAGGACAUCCGCCCUGCCAGGGGGUUUCUGUUCAGGGAGAGAUUUUCCAGCCAGCGACGCAGGGGCCAGAGCAGAGGCCGGAGCAGCUGGUGGGGACUCUGCGGUGACUGUGGAUGCUCCUGCGAGGGGGUGGCGAGAACGCUGAGUGUGACCACAGUGUCCAUGGGAGCCGAAGGACCGAGGCAGCCCGGGGUCCAAAUGGGGAACCCACAGUGGUCCAUCUGUGCGAGGGAAUAUUACACAGCCAUGAAAAGGGACGCAGCCCGAGGCCCAGCGCCCACGGGCUCAGCUCUGCCGGCCCCCCUGCGCCCCGAGAGCCCGCCAUGCCCGGCGCGUGGCCCCUGGCCCUGCUGCUUCUGCUGCCGUCCGCGUGCUGCCCGCCGCCCCGCGCCCAGGAGCCCACCGCGCCCCUCAGGAACCUCAGGGUGGAGCCGGGCAGCAGGCGGCUGACCUGGGACCUGCAGGGGAACGCGUCCGGCAUCCAGUGCUUCCAGAGCAGCUACCCCUUGACUGACUCCGAGGAGGACGCGUCCUUCCAAGAGGUAAGUGCACGCGGGUGCCCGCUGGACAGUGACUCCAGCCUUCGGGACACGCGCUGCCCUGCAGGUAAAUUUGUCCGUCAUCCCAGCACUGAGGAGGCUGAGGCAGGAGGGUCCUCCAGGCCAUCGGGCUGCAAGCUCGCUCCCUGCAGACGGUGGCUGCUGGUCGGCCUCAGCUGACCUGAGCCCACACAGGGCCACUGCCCGGCCUGCAGCCCCGUGUGUGUCCCUCAGGCGGAGGACGACCAGUACUGUGAGUACCACACAAUGUCCUUCUGCACGGUGACCAACUACACGGUCAGGGUGACGCAGCCGCCGUUCUCAGCCUGGAUCCUCUUCCCGCAGCCAGCCCAGAUAGCAGCAUGGCGGCGGCGGCCACAGGCCUGAGGUGCAGGAUUCCC